AGUUCUAAAUUCUCUUUCAGCUCCAAUUCUAUGGUUCUUAUUUUCUAAUUAUUUAUUUGUAUCUCUUUUUUCAGGGAACCACCAUCGUGCCAUUGCUGUCUUCUAUUCUGCAUGAUGAUGAAGAGUUCCCUAAUCCAGACCAGUUUGACCCAGGUCACUUCCUGGAUGAAAGUGGCAACUUUAAGAAGAGCGACUAUUUCAUGCCUUUUUCAACAGGAAAACGGAUAUGUGCUGGUGAGAGUCUGGCUCGGAUGGAAUUAUUUUGUUUUUUACUACCAUCUUACAAAAUUUUACUUUGAAAUCUGCCAUUGACUCAGAAGAUAUCGACACACCCCAAUUGCCAGUGGAUUUGUCAGAGUGCCCCCUCCUAUGAGCUCUGCUUUCUCCCUUCCUAAAACAUGUGAAGGACUAGCCCUAGUUCCAACUGCUCUAGAGUCUCCUCAUGUUUAUGAACAAGAUGUAUUCAUUCCAUUGCCUGCCAGUGAAAGCCCUCUAUGCUUUCAGCCCAAUAUGCUCUUCUAGCAUAAUCUAAUACUGCCUUUGACUUUUGCCAAAAUCAUGAUUUAACUUUCCCCAUCCUUCCCCAGAAAUUCCCCAUUCUGGGAAUAUUUCUUCUUUUUUCUUCACUUCACUUCAACUCCACUGGCAGAAAUCUCACCCACCCUUGAAUCACAAUUUAGGUGCCAUAUCCCUGUGACCUUUUUAGUUCUUACAGUCUGUACAAUUCAAUCUAAGCCUGAAUUAUACAUAUGCAUCUUACGUUGUGUGUUCUUUCAGAUAUGUUUAUUGAUCCCAUCUUGUGCUCCUCCCCAGAUCUUAAGAUUCUUUUCAGUAGGGCCUCUAUCCUAUACUUGUGUGUAGUUAUCUACCAUCAGUUAGUUAGGAGCCAUUUUCUGCUCAUUAAUUGUCUCAUGUUAUAUACUUCAAAAUAUACAUGUAUCCUACUAUGAUGGCAGCUUAACUGCUCACAAUGUGAUGUCAGUGAGGUGGCACCUUGGACAGGGUCUUGGACCUGGAAUUACAAAGACCUGAGUUAAAAUCCAGCCUUAGACAUUUACUGGCUAUAUGAUCCUGGGAAAGUCAUUUCACCUCUGUUUGCUUCAGUACCUUUAUGUAUAAAAUGGGGAUAAUCAUAGCACUUAUCUCCCAAGAUUAUUGUGAAAGGAUCAAAGGAGUUGAUAAUUUUUAAGCAUUUAGUACAGUGUCUGGCACAUUGUAAGUGCUAUAUAAAUAUUACCAGAAAUUGUUAUUAUUACAACAAUAGCUACUACUACUAUUACUCCCAGUACUAGUACUACUACAACUAUUACUA
Molecule: long non-coding RNA, 1312 nt
Filed under: Phascolarctos cinereus (koala)
Lineage: Eukaryota; Metazoa; Chordata; Mammalia; Diprotodontia; Phascolarctidae
Description: lncRNA (ENSPCIG00000031747.1)
Source: RNAcentral